Camelus dromedarius (Arabian camel) is the source of this 1992-nucleotide long non-coding RNA. RefSeq lists it as uncharacterized. The transcript is spliced from 3 exons. The record is from RefSeq and is a predicted model, not a curated record. NCBI's taxonomy places the organism in Eukaryota, Metazoa, Chordata, Mammalia, Artiodactyla, Camelidae.
GUAGGAGCCAGGACAUAAUCCCCCGUCCUUGCUUCCAAAACAAACCGAGGGUGCCUUUAUUCUCUGUGUUGAUUUCCUUUGAUGAGGUUUUCAGGGCCCGAUGGAUGACUCUUUUCCCUCACCUUGGUCUCUAAUUACUGCCCACACUUGCUUCCAUCUGUUGUGGUUUCUGAGCUAGGAAUGGAAGUGUACUUGGAUGUUUUAUUAUCGCCUUGGAACACGAGCCUAGAAAAGCAAAACAUUCCCUGUAAUUUCCACUCCUUUGAAUUCGUAUUCAGCCUUGGUUUUUGCUGAAGCAGCAUAUGAUGCAAAGAACAGACAAGGUCUGGGCUCCUCCCCAAAGUGCCAGUGACCUCCCUGUCUUACCAGGAGUGAAAUCAAAUGACAAGGCAAGUUUCCACCUUUAAUCAGCCAUCGAUCAGCAAGGAAGUACACACCUACCAUUCACCAUCAAGACACCAAGGGGUGAGAAAGUCUCCCAGAGGUCAAGGCAUUUCCUCUGCCCCCAAGGAGUUGGCCACGCAAACUAUGAAUUCAAACAUCUUCUCCGCACAGACCCAUGUGGCCCAUAAUGAAUAGGGCCGAUUCUCAACCCAGAAGAAGACACACAGGAACAGGGACUGUGUCGCCUGUACGGUGAGAGCUCGACAAACUCAGAGCAGCUGGAGGUCGCUGUGGACUGGAGGGCUCUGAGAAGGUGACCUAGAAGAGGGGCUAUUUGAACUAAAUCUUAAAAACCAAGGAAGAGUUAUUUAGGAGGAAAGAGAGGGAAGAAAUUCAGGGCGCUCCACGCUGUGUAAAAGGAAGGAUGAACCUAGCACUCUGGGGGACCCAUGCUGUGGCCCCUCCUCUACUUAGAACCUCUUCCAGACUCUUUCCUUCCGUUGCUUUAACUGAGUGGGAGAAGACCUACCCCUAAAUCAAGAGAUGGCCCAGACCCCUGAAGGCGAAGCAGCCUCUCAAUCCCAGUCCCCCACGCCAGCCCCAAGGAAGCCAAAGCAGGCAUACUCAGUCACUGAAGUAAAAAUAGCUGGUUACAGCAGCUGAGGCAGUGUGGGCGGAGACUGAGGGAGGGAGACAGCACUGGGAGCCCGAGGCCAGCUGGGGCGGAAGGCGGGACAGUGGGGCAGACCCCAGCCAGGGCUGCUGAAGAAGGCUGAAGGUCGGUGCCAGUGCUGAGGCCCUGACGUGUGGUGGGAGGAGGCCAGGUGGCCGGACAGCUCUGUUUGUCCUGUAGGUGUGGGCAGGGAGGCAACUGGAAGGAAGGAGUCAAGGGCUGAUUUGCCCCAGCCUCUGGGUUCUGUGUGGAGCCUCCAUAGUCCAGUAGAAAGAUUUCUGUUUGAAGUGACAGACUACGCCUUCCCUCCCUCCCACGGCUGCAAAAGAUUUUAUAGUCAAAUAUCUGCUCACAGAGAGAAAAUACCAGGCAGGACGUGUGUGGACUGUAAAUCCAAGAGGGCACGUCUGUGGGCUUGACCAUUAUCUUCCCAUCAAGAGGCAUCAGGAUUUCACUGCCCGGGGAGGUCCCCGCGAAGGUUUUGGAUGAGAAAAUGGAUGCUUGGGAGGAUGGUCGUUUGCCCAAAGCCACAUGGUUGGUAAGUGGAGGAGCUGGGUACAAGCCCAGGUUGGCCCCCAAGCCUGGCUAUGGUGCUGUGGUCCCAGAAAACACUUUUGCCUGGCACCUGUCACUGAAGUGGGGUCACCUGCUAUUUUUACACCUCUUACUAUGCAAAGAGGGUCGAAUCCCGAAGGACUCGCUGGCUCGUUAAAAUGCCGUAUUAGCGGGUGGAGGAGGGGUGUUUACAGAGAAGACGGCAGAGUCCCGUGAUUGAGUCCUGGUACUCGGGUGCCCUCUGAGUUCCCUCGUUCUCUUGCUGCAGGGAAGCAGGAUUAGAAGAGUUAGUUCCAGGGUAAUUUACAGGAAUAGGGAUGGUUUGGUAGAAGCCAGCUCCGAGGUGCCCCAUUCAGCACCGUUAUUCAACAGUGGCAAAA